RNAcentral lists this ribosomal RNA (431 nucleotides) under uncultured archaeon. RNAcentral's name for it is "bacterial SSU rRNA". It matches the Rfam family "Archaeal small subunit ribosomal RNA", at positions 474 to 903 of the family's 1478-position model. The record is from RNAcentral.
UACCAGCUCUCCGAGUGGUAGGGAUGAUUAUUGGGCUUAAAGCGUCCGUAGCCGGCUUAGCAAGUCUCCUGUUAAAUUCAGCGACCUAAUCGUUGAGCCGCGGGAGAUACUACUAGGCUAGGAGGCGGGAGAGGUCGACGGUACUUCUGGGGGUAGGGGUGAAAUCCUAUAAUCCCGGGAGGACCACCAGUGGCGAAGGCUGUCGACUAGAACGCGCUCGACGGUGAGGGACGAAAGCGUGGGGGAGCGAACCGGAUUAGAUACCCGGGUAGUCCCAGCUGUAAACGAUGCGGGCUAGGUGUUGGGGUGGCUACGUGCCACUUCAGUGCCGCAGGGAAGCCAUUAAGCCCGCCGCCUGGGGAGUACGGCCGCAAGGCUGAAACUUAAAGGAAUUGGCGGGGGAGCACCACAAGGCGUGAAGCUUGCGGUUC